AACGUUGAAAAUCACUUACCUGGACGGGGUCUAUGAGUGAUCAAUAAGGCUCAUGGCCUAGAUCAAUGGCUCGCGUUGCACUUUGUGAGUGUGUUGAUCUACCAUCUUCCUUUUGAGAAAGAGUGA
RNAcentral lists this ribosomal RNA (126 nucleotides) under Triticum aestivum (bread wheat). RNAcentral's name for it is "partial small subunit ribosomal RNA". The record is from RNAcentral. Lineage: Eukaryota; Viridiplantae; Streptophyta; Magnoliopsida; Poales; Poaceae.